RNAcentral lists this ribosomal RNA (955 nucleotides) under uncultured cyanobacterium. RNAcentral describes it as "bacterial SSU rRNA". It matches the Rfam family "Bacterial small subunit ribosomal RNA", at positions 32 to 1028 of the family's 1533-position model. Lineage: Bacteria; Bacillati; Cyanobacteriota. The record is from RNAcentral.
AACGCUGGCGGUCUGCUUAACACAUGCAAGUCGAACGGGUGUAGAAAUACAUUAGUGGCGGACGGGUGAGUAACGCGUGAGAAUCUACCUCAAGGACGGGGAUAACCAUGGGAAACGAUGGCUAAAACCGGAUGAGCCGAAGGGUAAAAAAUUAAUUGCCUAGAGAAGAGCUCGCGUCUGAUUAGCUAGUUGGUAGGGUAAGAGCCUACCAAGGCAUCGAUCAGUAGCUGGUCUGAGAGGAUGACCAGCCACACUGGGACUGAGACACGGCCCAGACUCCUACGGGAGGCAGCAGUGGGGAAUUUUCCGCAAUGGGCGAAAGCCUGACGGAGCAAGACCACGUGAGGGAGGAAGGCUCUUGGGUUGUAAACCUCUUUUCUUGGGGAAGAAAAAAAUGACGGUACCCAAGGAAUCAGCAUCGGCUAACUCCGUGCCAGCAGCCGCGGUAAUACGGAGGAUGCAAGCGUUAUCCGGAAUUAUUGGGCGUAAAGCGUCCGCAGGUGGCACUUCAAGUCUGCUGUCAAAGACAGUGGCUUAACUACUGAAAGGCAGUGGAAACUGAAGCGCUAGAGUGUCGUAGGGGUAGAGGGAAUUCCCGGUGUAGCGGUGAAAUGCGUAGAGAUCGGGAAGAACAUCGGUGGCGAAAGCGCUCUACUGGACGACAACUGACACUCAGGGACGAAAGCUAGGGGAGCGAAUGGGAUUAGAUACCCCAGUAGUCCUAGCCGUAAACGAUGGAUACUAGGUGUGGCUUGUAUCGACCCGAGCCGUGCCGUAGCUAACGCGUUAAGUAUCCCGCCUGGGGAGUACGCGCGCAAGCGUGAAACUCAAAGGAAUUGACGGGGGCCCGCACAAGCGGUGGAGUAUGUGGUUUAAUUCGAUGCAACGCGAAGAACCUUACCAGGGCUUGACAUGUCCGGAAUCUGCUUGAAAGGGAAAAGUGCCUUCGGGAGCC